CAGUCGCCGCGGGAAUACGGAGGGUGCAAGCGUUAAUCGGAAUUACUGGGCGUAAAGCGUGCGUAGGCGGCUUUUUAAGUCGGAUGUGAAAUCCCUGAGCUUAACUUAGGAAUUGCAUUCGAUACUGGGAAGCUAGAGUAUGGGAGAGGAUGGUAGAAUUCCAGGUGUAGCGGUGAAAUGCGUAGAGAUCUGGAGGAAUACCGAUGGCGAAGGCAGCCAUCUGGCCUAAUACUGACGCUGAGGUACGAAAGCAUGGGGAGCAAACAGGAUUAGAUACCCGCGUAGUCCCUGUCUCUUAUAC
Molecule: ribosomal RNA, 301 nt
Filed under: uncultured bacterium
Lineage: Bacteria
Description: partial 16S ribosomal RNA
Rfam family: Bacterial small subunit ribosomal RNA
Source: RNAcentral